AACGAACGCUGGCGGCGUGCUUAACACAUGCAAGUCGAACGGAAAGGCCUCUUUCGGGGGGUACUCGAGUGGCGAACGGGUGAGUAACACGUGAGUAACCUGCCCUUGACUUUGGGAUAACUUCAGGAAACUGGGGCUAAUACCGGAUAGGAGCUCCUGCUGCAUGGUGGGGGGUGGAAAGUUUCGGCGGUUGGGGAUGGACUCGCGGCUUAUCAGCUUGUUGGUGGGGUAGUGGCUUACCAAGGCUUUGACGGGUAGCCGGCCUGAGAGAGUGACCGGCCACAUUGGGACUGGGAUACGGCCCAGACGCCUACGGGGAGCAGCAGUGGGGAAUAUUACACAAUGGGUGGAAGCCUGAUGCAGCAAAGCCGUGUGCGGGAUGACGGCCUUCGGGUUGUAAACCGCUUUCGCUCAUGACGAAGCUUUGUGUGACGGUAGUGGGUAAAGAAGCACCGGCUAACUACGUG
Molecule: ribosomal RNA, 467 nt
Filed under: uncultured bacterium
Lineage: Bacteria
Description: partial 16S ribosomal RNA
Rfam family: Bacterial small subunit ribosomal RNA
Source: RNAcentral